GGGGAUUUAGCUCAGCGGCAUAAGCGCCUGCCUUGCAAGCAGGCAGUCGUGAGCUGGAUCCCCG
Transfer RNA from Cavia porcellus (domestic guinea pig), 64 nucleotides. It matches the Rfam family "tRNA". Rfam says of the family: Transfer RNA (tRNA) molecules are approximately 80 nucleotides in length. Their secondary structure includes four short double-helical elements and three loops (D, anti-codon, and T loops). Lineage: Eukaryota; Metazoa; Chordata; Mammalia; Rodentia; Caviidae. The record is from Rfam.